UUUUUUGACUGUCAGAAAUGUCUAUUAAUUUUAAAACUCCACUCAAUGCAGUACGCUUAACGUAUUCUAGAUACUUUAGUUUAUUCUGGGAUUUUGGUGUUACCUGGAGAAUGCAGCUGAACACAUUCCAUUCAGUGUAAUCACAGGAGCUCAGACUAACCAGGGAAGGGUUUGAACGGCUGCACCUAGAGUGCAUUUAAAAUGUUAAAUAACAGUCAUACCACGAAUCAGCCAUCAGAGGGAGAUCAGUGACCCGUACAAAGAUUGCUCCACAUUCAUGAAACUGCAGUUCACAGUGAUGUGUGUAAACUUCCCAGAAGGAAGUGAAACAGUAACAGUUGCUUGAAAUUAAGAAUUGUUCCAUCAGAUCACAAUGGGGCAUCAUUGGCACUCGCUGCUUGAGGGACCCACAGCAGGGGGUGUGGAGGUCAGGGCUGAGGUGUGCUCGCCUGCCCUGUGCACCUGACUGUAGUCAGUGCCUCACCUGAAAACCAUGUUGAGGAAGACUUUGGGCGCGUUAAGUAACUGAGUGGCUCAGAGCACGAUUUUUUUGCUCACUCGGAUCACUGAUAAAGUCUGCUCUGCAGUGCUCUGAGCUGCUCAGAGGGAGCGGAACUGUUAAGUGAGUUCUUUCACAGAGCUUCUCCGAGCGGCUCACUUACUGAACACACUAUUUGUUUCAUCACCGGAUUUACUCUCUAAAUCAUUGUUU
This is a long non-coding RNA of Acipenser ruthenus (sterlet), 712 nucleotides long. RefSeq lists it as uncharacterized. Lineage: Eukaryota; Metazoa; Chordata; Actinopteri; Acipenseriformes; Acipenseridae. The record is from RefSeq and is a predicted model, not a curated record. The transcript is spliced from 3 exons.